GAUCCUGGCUUAGGAUGAACGCUAGCGGCAGGCUUAACACAUGCAAGUCGAGGGGCAUCGGGAGUAGCAAUACUGCCGGCGACCGGCGCAAGGGUGCGUAACGCGUGAGCAACAUGCCCGUAUCAGGGGGAUAAUCCAUGGAAACGUGGUCUAAUACCCCAUAGUAAUUAUGUAAGGCAUCUUAUAUAAUUUAAAGCUUUGGUGGAUACGGAUUGGCUCGCGUGACAUUAGCUAGAUGGUAAGGUAACGGCUUACCAUGGCUACGAUGUCUAGGGGUUCUGAGAGGAAGGUCCCCCACACUGGAACUGAGACACGGUCCAGACUCCUACGGGAGGCAGCAGUGAGGAAUAUUGGACAAUGGAUGGAAAUCUGAUCCAGCCAUGCCGCGUGCAAGGAAGACGGCCCUAUGGGUUGUAAACUGCUUUUGUAUGGGAGCAAUAAGGGCUACGCGUAGUCCGAUGAGAGUACCAUACGAAUAAGCACCGGCUAACUCCGUGCCAGCCGCCGC
Molecule: ribosomal RNA, 508 nt
Filed under: uncultured bacterium
Lineage: Bacteria
Description: bacterial SSU rRNA
Rfam family: Bacterial small subunit ribosomal RNA
Source: RNAcentral